Molecule: long non-coding RNA, 3779 nt
Filed under: Lathyrus oleraceus (garden pea)
Lineage: Eukaryota; Viridiplantae; Streptophyta; Magnoliopsida; Fabales; Fabaceae
Description: Pisum sativum (pea) long non-coding RNA (PSAT_LNC034721)
Source: RNAcentral
UAACUGCAAUGGUGUUCGUCCGCGAGGAGGGUGAGUGGUUUGGUGGUGGCGUUUGGGUUUUGAAGAGGUUGAAGGUGGGUCGCGAGGUUGGACGGAGGUGUGGGUCGUGAUGCACGGUGGCUUUGUGUGAAGUGUGAUGGUUGAGAGAUGACGGUGGGAGUUAGCGGCGGAGACGAUUUGGGUCGUGGGUUUGUGUGGCGAUGGAAGACGGUGGUGCGGUGGAGGUUCAGGGUUGGAGUGAGGGCUUGGUGUUGAGAGUGGAAGAGUGAAUGAAAUGUGAGAGGGUUUCGUGUAGUUGAUGGGAAGGAGGCGGAGGCGAGGGUUUUGCGUGAGGGUUUUGUGAGGUUGAGUUUUGUGAGGUUGUUGAGAGAUGAUGGCGGUGGUUGAAGGAUUUAGGUGAAGGAGUGUUUUGUAUUUGCUUUCUUUUUUCAGAAAGAGUGAGCGAGACGAGAGAGAAGAGGGUGAGGUUGUGUGAGCUGAGAGUGGGGACGCAUGUUGUUAAAAUGAGUGGAGAGUGUGUGAGAGAUAUCCUUUUUCUUUUUUUGUUUUUUAUGUGAGGAGGGAAUCCAAUGCACAUAAGUUUUUUAUAAUUAUUAUUCAUUUAAAUAACAAGUCAUAAAAAACUAACUAAUAUUUAAUUUAAACACAUUCUAAUUAUUUUAAUUAAAUAUCUAACCAAAAAACAUUGACCCAUUAAAAACAGAAAUCGAGUACAAAUUUGUUCGAAAAGAUGAACCGGUCACACUAAAAUUGUCAGGACAAAAAAUACUUAUUAAAAAAAAUACAGCCUUUCCUCAAAUUCUGAAAUAAUUUUGCACUGAUUAAAAGGCUCAGGCGGUUCAAGAUAUAACCGAAACAGUCACUGUUGAUUUUGCCUAUUCUUGAGAAAUGAUUCAACUGAUUGGUCUGCCUUUUCAAUAAAUACAUUCUGACUGGCACUUUAGGCAUUAUUCAUGAUGCAAUGUAUGUCAUGCUAUGCAUAUGAUGCAAAAAUGAAAAUGAAAUCAGUUCUAUGAAAGUUGUAAAUAUGCCCGGACAAAAUUGGGGUAUGAUAGCUGCCCCUAUUUAAUUAACUUGAACUAGAAGGUAAGAAUGACGAUAGUCUUCAUACAUUCAUGGUGGAAGGUAAUUAAAUACGAAAAGAUCCAAAUUUUGUCCUUUGAAAUGCAAUGGAAUGGAUGCAGAAAGAAGAUGUAAUGGAUUCUAACAGCACCAAGGUGAUAGGGGUAGAAAGCCAAAUCAAUGUCAACCCUCGAGUCGACAUUCAGGUCUUGCAAAGGUCGUUAUUGGUGUGAGACAAAAACUGGACAUGUUUUCUGGCACCAAAAAGAUGACAGUGGAGUUAGUUUCUAUCACCAAAAGGAUGACAGAGAUUCACCAUGAUUUCCAGGAUCGUCAUCACCAAAAGGAUGAUGGCUAAGUUGAGCUUCAGAAGUAGUUAUCACCAAAAGGAUGAUGUCCGUCACCAAAAGGAUGAUGUUUAUUCUGAUAAAGUUUUCCGAUUACCGAGAGUAUAAUAUCAAGGCUAUCACCAAAAGGAUGAUAGUUGACUCAUCAACUUCAAAUAUCACCGUCACCAAAAGGAUGAAGGUAAUAUCCAACAAUCAAAACUUGUUAUCACCAAAAGGAUGAUAAUAAGUCAAAUAACUUCAAUGAUCACCAUCACCAAAAGGAUGAAGGUAUAAUCACACAAAAAACUUGUUAUCACCAAAAGGAUGAUAAUAAGUCGAAACUCCAUGAUCACCAUCACCAAAAGGAUGAAGGUAUAAUCACACAACAAACUUGUUAUCACCAAAAGGAUGAUAAUAAGUUGAAACUCAAUGAUCACCAUCACCAAAAGGAUGAAGGUAUAAUUAAAACAGAACUUGUUUCCACCAAAAGGAUGAUAAUAAGUCACACAACUCAAAGAAUCCCCAUCACCAAAAGGAUGAUAGUAAGAUCAAAACAAAACCUUGUUACCACCAAAAGGAUGAUAAUAAGUCAACAAUCACCAUCACCAAAAGGAUGAAGGUAUAAUUAAAAGACAAAACUGUUACCGCCAAAAAGGACGAUAAUAAGUCGACAAUCACCAUCACCAAAGGAUGAAGUAAUAUUAAAAGACACAACUGUUAUCGCCAAAGGACGAUAAUAAGUCACACAACGCAUGAUCACCAUCACCAAAAGAUGAAGUAAGAUCAAGACCAACUUGUUUCACCAAAAGAGAUAAAAGUCAACAGAUCACCACACCAAAAGAAAGGUAUGUUCAAACGACAAAACUUGUACACAAAAGGAUGAUAAUAAGAAACACAACGCAUUGAUCAACCUCACCAAAGAUGAAGUAGGAUCAAGACCACCUGGUUAAUCACCAAAAGGAUGAAGGUAAGGUCAAACGACAAAACUUGUUACCACCAAAAGGAUGAUAAUAAGCACUCAGCGCAAUUGAUCACCAUCACCAAAAGGAUGAAGGUAGGAUCGAGACACAAACUUGUUAUCACCAAAAGGAUGAUAAUAAGUCAACAAUCACCAUCACCAAAAGGAUGAAGGUAUUGUCAAACAACAAAACUUGUUACCACCAAAAGGAUGAUAAUAAGUACAUAACUUCAAAACUUGUUAUCACCAAAAGGAUGAUAAUAAGCUGAAACAGACUCAAUGAUCGCCAUCACCAAAAGGAUGAGGGUAAGAUCAAAACAAAACUCAUUAUCACCAAAAGGAUGAUAAUGAGCCCAUAACUCAAAUGGUCACGGUCACCAAAAGGAUGAAGGUAAGACCAAUCAACAAAACUUGUUACCACCAAAAGGAUGAUAAUAAGUCAAAACUUCAAAACUUGUUAUCACCAAAAGGAUGAUAAUAAGUCGACAAUCACCAUCACCAAAAGGAUGAAGGUACUACAAACAACAGGACUCGUUAUCACCAAAAGAAUGAUAAUGAAUCAACAAACACCAUCACCAAAAGGAUGAAGGUGAGAUCAUAACUUUGAAACUUGUUACCACCAAAAGGAUGAUAAUAAGUUAUAAUAACUUCAACUAUUGCCGACACCAAAAGGAUGACAGUGGGAUUGAACUUUCCAAAUGUCAGCAUCACCAAAAGGAUGAUGGCUUAAACCAAGCUUUAUAAUCUCUAUCACCAAAAGGAUGAUAUUUAGCUUUGAACUGGACAUCAUCACCAAAAGGAUGAUGGUUGAACCAAAAUGACAAGGAUCCUUAUUACCACAAGGAUCGCCGACACCAAAAGGAUGACGGUAGGCUGUAAUAAUUGCAGAGGUCACCACUCACCAAAAGGAUGAAGGUUGGACCAAAGCUUCAGGGAUCUUCGACACCAAAAGGAUGACAGUAAGAUCGCAAAUGUCAAGGGUUUACCAUUACCAAAAGGAUAACGGCCACCAUAAACAGGGUGAUGGUUAAUAUUAUUCCUCAAUGGACUUUCACCAAAAGGAUGACAGUGAGAAAAAUAUUGGAACCACCAUAAACAGGGUGAUGGUUAAUAUUAUUCCUCAAUGGACUUUCACCAAAAGGAUGACAGUGAGAAAAAUAUUGGAAAAAUAAGGCUACUGUCAAAGUUCAGUAAACCUGAUUUGCUGGGUAGUGUUGGAACAUCACUGGGUAAGAUUUUCUUGGGGUAUCAACAACAAAAGGUUGCAGAACCAAUAUUCUCUGGGGAGAUGUAGUUUCUAUCAACAAAAGGUUAUAGGAAACGACUCAUUGAGGGAUGCUCAACGCGAAACAAGGUAAGUGUUUAGAGAAACAUUGUUUGACUAAGCUGAGGAUAACAUCUUAUCAACAAAAGGUUGAAGGAUAUAUUUU